Long non-coding RNA from Medicago truncatula (barrel medic), 335 nucleotides. RefSeq lists it as uncharacterized. The record is from RefSeq and is a predicted model, not a curated record. NCBI's taxonomy places the organism in Eukaryota, Viridiplantae, Streptophyta, Magnoliopsida, Fabales, Fabaceae. The transcript is spliced from 2 exons.
GUUUUUUACUUAUAAAGUUACUAAUUUCUAUCUAGUUCAUUACAUGCAAAUUAAGGGCAUAAAAUAUGGCUGAAAUUCCAAAAUUUGUUUAUGCUUUAAUCAGCUUUCUUUCUCUUAUUCUGGUCUUAAGCAGCAAUGAGAUUGAACACUGCGAAACUCAUUCAGAUUGUCCACAUUAUAUGUGUGACUCACCUCAAACUCCUUGGUGCAUGGCAUACGAAUGUUGGUGCUUCUAAAUGUAAUAGUUAACUUAAAAAUCAAUUCUCUAUUUCUUUAAGCUUAUAAUUGGAUUUGUAAUAUUGUUGCUAUUUAAGAUUUUCUCCUGCUUCGAUUUA